GACGAACGCUGGCGGCGUGCCUAAUACAUGCAAGUAGAACGCUGAAGAGAGGAGCUUACUCUUCUUGGAUGAGUUGCGAACGGGUGAGUAACGCGUAGGUAACCUGCCUUGUAGCGGGGGAUAACUAUUGGAAACGAUAGCUAAUACCGCAUAACAAUGGAUGACACAUGUCAUUUAUUUGAAAGGGGCAAUUGCUCCACUACAAGAUGGACCUGCGUUGUAUUAGCUAGUAGGUGAGGUAAUGGCUCACCUAGGCGACGAUACAUAGCCGACCUGAGAGGGUGAUCGGCCACACUGGGACUGAGACACGGCCCAGAAUCCUACGGGAGGCAGCAGUAGGGAAUCUUCGGCAAUGGGGGCAACCCUGACCGAGCAACGCCGCGUGAGUGAAGAAGGUUUUCGGAUCGUAAAGCUCUGUUGUAAGUCAAGAACGGGUGUGAGAGUGGAAAGUUCACACUGUGACGGUAGCUUACCAGAAAGGGACGGCUAACUACGUG
This 497-nucleotide ribosomal RNA is filed under the name uncultured bacterium. Its description in RNAcentral is "partial 16S ribosomal RNA". It matches the Rfam family "Bacterial small subunit ribosomal RNA", at positions 28 to 507 of the family's 1533-position model. The record is from RNAcentral.